This 352-nucleotide unclassified non-coding RNA is filed under the name soil metagenome. RNAcentral's name for it is "partial contains 5.8S ribosomal RNA, internal transcribed spacer 2, and large subunit ribosomal RNA". The stretch from base 1 to 120 matches the Rfam family "5.8S ribosomal RNA", at positions 35 to 154 of the family's 154-position model. The record is from RNAcentral.
GAUGAAGAACGUAGCGAAAUGCGAUAAGUAAUGUGAAUUGCAGAAUUCAGUGAAUCAUCGAAUCUUUGAACGCACAUUGCGCCCGCCAGUAUUCUGGCGGGCAUGCCUGUUCGAGCGUCAUUACAACCCUCAGGCCCCCGGGCCUGGCGUUGGGGAUCGGCGGAGCCCCCCGUCGGCACACGCCGUCCCCCAAAUACAGUGGCGGUCCCGCCGCAGCUUCCAUCGCGUAGUAGCUAACACCUCGCGACUGGAGAGCGGCGCGGCCACGCCGUAAAACACCCAACUCUUCUGAAGUUGACCUCGAAUCAGGUAGGAAUACCCGCUGAACUUAAGCAUAUCAAUAAGCGGAGGA